This 1120-nucleotide ribosomal RNA is filed under the name Klebsiella quasipneumoniae. Its description in RNAcentral is "bacterial SSU rRNA". It matches the Rfam family "Bacterial small subunit ribosomal RNA", at positions 1 to 1112 of the family's 1533-position model. Lineage: Bacteria; Pseudomonadati; Pseudomonadota; Gammaproteobacteria; Enterobacterales; Enterobacteriaceae. The record is from RNAcentral.
AAAUUGAAGAGUUUGAUCAUGGCUCAGAUUGAACGCUGGCGGCAGGCCUAACACAUGCAAGUCGAGCGGUAGCACAGAGAGCUUGCUCUCGGGUGACGAGCGGCGGACGGGUGAGUAAUGUCUGGGAAACUGCCUGAUGGAGGGGGAUAACUACUGGAAACGGUAGCUAAUACCGCAUAAUGUCGCAAGACCAAAGUGGGGGACCUUCGGGCCUCAUGCCAUCAGAUGUGCCCAGAUGGGAUUAGCUAGUAGGUGGGGUAACGGCUCACCUAGGCGACGAUCCCUAGCUGGUCUGAGAGGAUGACCAGCCACACUGGAACUGAGACACGGUCCAGACUCCUACGGGAGGCAGCAGUGGGGAAUAUUGCACAAUGGGCGCAAGCCUGAUGCAGCCAUGCCGCGUGUGUGAAGAAGGCCUUCGGGUUGUAAAGCACUUUCAGCGGGGAGGAAGGCGAUAAGGUUAAUAACCUUGUCGAUUGACGUUACCCGCAGAAGAAGCACCGGCUAACUCCGUGCCAGCAGCCGCGGUAAUACGGAGGGUGCAAGCGUUAAUCGGAAUUACUGGGCGUAAAGCGCACGCAGGCGGUCUGUCAAGUCGGAUGUGAAAUCCCCGGGCUCAACCUGGGAACUGCAUUCGAAACUGGCAGGCUAGAGUCUUGUAGAGGGGGGUAGAAUUCCAGGUGUAGCGGUGAAAUGCGUAGAGAUCUGGAGGAAUACCGGUGGCGAAGGCGGCCCCCUGGACAAAGACUGACGCUCAGGUGCGAAAGCGUGGGGAGCAAACAGGAUUAGAUACCCUGGUAGUCCACGCCGUAAACGAUGUCGAUUUGGAGGUUGUGCCCUUGAGGCGUGGCUUCCGGAGCUAACGCGUUAAAUCGACCGCCUGGGGAGUACGGCCGCAAGGUUAAAACUCAAAUGAAUUGACGGGGGCCCGCACAAGCGGUGGAGCAUGUGGUUUAAUUCGAUGCAACGCGAAGAACCUUACCUGGUCUUGACAUCCACAGAACUUAGCAGAGAUGCUUUGGUGCCUUCGGGAACUGUGAGACAGGUGCUGCAUGGCUGUCGUCAGCUCGUGUUGUGAAAUGUUGGGUUAAGUCCCGCAACGAGCGCAACCCUUAUCCUU